AACUCUCGGCAACGGAUAUCUCGGCUCUCGCAUCGAUGAAGAACGUAGCGAAAUGCGAUACUUGGUGUGAAUUGCAGAAUCCCGUGAACCAUCGAGUCUUUGAACGCAAGUUGCGCCCGAAGCCGUCAGGCCGAGGGCACGCCUGCCUGGGCGUCACGC
RNAcentral lists this ribosomal RNA (159 nucleotides) under Acacia declinata. RNAcentral describes it as "5.8S ribosomal RNA". It matches the Rfam family "5.8S ribosomal RNA". From Rfam's summary of the family: 5.8S ribosomal RNA (5.8S rRNA) is a component of the large subunit of the eukaryotic ribosome. Lineage: Eukaryota; Viridiplantae; Streptophyta; Magnoliopsida; Fabales; Fabaceae. The record is from RNAcentral.